UAUACCUUCACCAACUAGCGCAUUUACGUAUUAAUUGUUUUGGGCUCUUCUUGUAUUUUUGCCUUAUGGACUAGGCCCAAACAACAUCACCGAAUCGGCAAUCGCAGCAAGUUCUGCGCAGCGCUUCUUCAUCGUCACAACCUUCCUUCCAAUUCUUUCCAAACCCUGGCUUCUUCAAUCCCCACCGCAGCAUCUCCGCCGCCCACAGCAUCUCCUUCCGCCUCCAAACCCUUCUCCAAUUCCCUCCACCACUUCCCAAAUCCUCACUUUCUGCAACUCCGACCUCUCUCCUCGCCCUCAGGUGCCUCUAAUAUUGUUGUCAAUCAUUAAGUCGGAUGAAUUUAGCACCGCAGUCAGCAAAGCUAAAGCCUACAUUCCAAUUCUUUAAAGACGGGGAAGAAGGUGGCUCAAGUUGUUGGUGCUAAUGUUGCUCGCUUGAGAAACACUUUUGGAAGUUUGGGAAAUACGACCUAGUAUUGGAAAACAAUAUAGUCAAGUCCUAAGUUCUUGUCUUGAUAACGGACAAAAUGAUUCAAACUUGUGAUCUCGUGUAAUAUUAUGAAAGAAAAUUAUUAAAACAACAAUUGUUGGGUUACCAUA
Molecule: long non-coding RNA, 600 nt
Organism: Pyrus x bretschneideri (Chinese white pear)
Lineage: Eukaryota; Viridiplantae; Streptophyta; Magnoliopsida; Rosales; Rosaceae
Exons: 3
Source: RefSeq, a predicted model, not a curated record